AACGAACGCUGGCGGCAUGCCUAACACAUGCAAGUCGAACGAGACCUUCGGGUCUAGUGGCGCACGGGUGCGUAACGCGUGGGAACCUGCCCUUAGGUUCGGAAUAACUCCCCGAAAGGGGUGCUAAUACCGGAUAAUGUCUUCGGACCAAAGAUUUAUCGCCUUUGGAUGGGCCCGCGUUGGAUUAGCUAGUUGGUAGGGUAAAAGCCUACCAAGGCGACGAUCCAUAGCUGGUCUGAGAGGAUGAUCAGCCACACUGGGACUGAGACACGGCCCAGACUCCUACGGGAAGCAGCAGUGGGGAAUAUUGGACAAUGGGCGAAAGCCUGAUCCAGCAAUGCCGCGUGAGUGAUGAAGGCCUUAGGGUUGUAAAGCUCUUUUACCCGGGAUGAUAAUGACAGUACCGGGAGAAUAAGCUCCGGUUAACUCCGUG
Molecule: ribosomal RNA, 433 nt
Filed under: uncultured bacterium
Lineage: Bacteria
Description: partial 16S ribosomal RNA
Rfam family: Bacterial small subunit ribosomal RNA
Source: RNAcentral